Molecule: long non-coding RNA, 565 nt
Filed under: Homo sapiens (human)
Lineage: Eukaryota; Metazoa; Chordata; Mammalia; Primates; Hominidae
Description: HSALNT0105633
Source: RNAcentral
UUCAGUUGUGCCCAGCUCUUCCCAACUUCAUGCUCAGUGACAUCACAUCAGCAGCUUGAAAUCAGCCAUGGCGAGAGUAUUUAUACCAGAUGAAUUGGAUAAACAGACUGGGUCACAGAAGAUUUAGGUGGACUUGCCUUUUUCCACGAAGAGAAUGACAGAGCAGAACACAAACCAGGCAUUUGAUCCUUUCUGACAUGGGGACAGUAUUGGACUCACUGCAACGUACCACAUCUCCUUGGAGUUUAAAGGCCCUCACUUCCCCUCUUUGCUCUUGUAAGUUUCAUGCCAAAGCCUUUGGGCCUCUCAGUCCCAAGUUGUCUUCUGUGUUUCCCCAUUAAAACUUGGGAAUUAGCCAGGCGUGGCGGCCCAUGCCUGUAAUCCCAGCACUUUGGGAGGCUGAGGCGGGCAGAUCACCUAAAGUCGGGAGUUCGAGACCAGCCUAGCCAACAUGGUGAAACCUGUCUCUACUAAAAGUACAAAAAUUAGCUGGGUGUGGUGGUGGGCACCUAUAAUCCCAGCUACUCAGGAGGCUGAGGCAGGAGAAUCGCUUGAACCUGGCAGG